Molecule: long non-coding RNA, 1504 nt
Filed under: Arabidopsis lyrata
Lineage: Eukaryota; Viridiplantae; Streptophyta; Magnoliopsida; Brassicales; Brassicaceae
Description: long non-coding RNA (ALYR_LNC003318)
Source: RNAcentral
GGGUUCGUUGGUGUGACGAUUCGUGUGUGGUGGUCGUUCGAGAAACUUUGGAGAAUUAAAGUCUAGACUCAGGGGAGUUUAGCUUAGGGUUAGGUUAUCCUGAUUAAAUCUAGGCUCAGGAGAGUUUAGUUAAGGGUAGAGAUUUAUCCUUAAGGUUUCACGUUAUAGAAGGGAGCGGUAAAUCAAGAGGGUUGGGCUUGUUUUACGCGUUUGCGAAUUGGUUUUAAUUUGCUUUCUUGUUCUAGUGAAAUCGAAUCUGGACUUGGUUCCGGGGAGUAGGAAAAACCGAACCUCGUUAACAAAUUUCUUGUCUCGUUUACUUUCUGCAAUUUAUCUUACCUCAUCCGCACUUACAAUUGGUAUCAGAGCGGGUUCUCGAUAGAGAUUUAGUCUUGUUUCGGGUAGAUCAGGGUGAGGUUCAGGAGAUCGUUCAGAAGAUUGUUCAGGAGAUCGUUCAGGAGAUCAUUCAGGAAAUCGUUCAGGAAGUAAAACAGAGCUAAGCAUCGUGCGUUAUGGAUUCAUACAUCUCAGGAAUAUUUGGUCUAAGAGAGUUAAUCAUUAUGAUGAUGGUGCAAUGGUAUUUCAUUCUUCGUUUAGAUGGAGGCGAUCGUUUGGUUAGUUUUUGACCAUGAUGUGACUCAAGUAAGGGGAGAUUGGAGUUAUUGGUGUUGUGUUACUGGUGAUGAAGUUAUUGAAGCUAGAGUUGUUGAGUUCACAUACAUAGUCAAAAAGGGAGAGAUUGAAGAUGCAGUUAUUUUGGUGUUCUGUACUAGUCGUUGAAGUAGUACAGAAAGUAGUACAAGAUGUGAUUCAGGAAGAUGAGAUGCAUAAUUGCUGAUGGGGGGGCUCGAGUACUUGGGUGUUGGAGCGUUUGUCAAGUCAAGAAAAGGAAAAUUAUCUUUGUUUGAAGCAAAAGGAGUCAUGUAAGUAAAGUGGAAGUUUGCUUGAAGAGAAAAGGAAAUUGACAAAAAGGAAAACCUUUUCCUUAUGGGAUUUGGAAACUUUCUCUUAUGUGUGAUUGGAAGAGCUUGAGGCGCAAGUUUCUUUUUGUUAUAUAAGGGGGACGUGACCUUAUGAGAAUGUGGAUUUGCAAGAGUAAAAAUCCCAAGGAGAUUCGAUGUGAGAGAUUGUGUGUGUGAUCGUGUGAGACGUAGUUUCGCGGGUUAAAUGCUUGUGUGAUCAAGCUUAUUUGUGUGUUGGUGUUGAAGGUUCUCGUUGGAGAGUUUUGGUGACCAUUGGGUUCGUUGGUGUGACGAUUCGUGUGUGGUGGUCGUUCAAGAAACUUUGGAGAAUUAAAGUCUAGACUCAGGGGAGUUUAGCUUAGGGUUAGGUUAUCCUGAUUAAAUCUAGGCUCAGGAGAGUUUAGUUAAGGGUAGAGAUUUAUCCUUAAGGUUUCACGUUAUAGAAGGGAGCGGUAAAUCAAGAGGGUUGGGCUUGUUUUACGCGUUUGCGAAUUGGUUGUAAUUUGCUUUCUUGUUCUAGUGAAAUCGAAUCUGGACUUGGU